CCUACGGGAGGCAGCAGUGAGGAAUAUUGGUCAAUGGGCGAGAGCCUGAACCAGCCAAGUCGCGUGAGGGAGUACUGCCCUAUGGGUUGUAAACCUCUUUUGUCGGGGAGCAAAAGCCGGACGUGUCCGGCUGGGAGAGUACCCGAAGCAAAAACAUCGGCUACACCCGUGCCAGAAGCCGCGGCAAUACGGAGGAUGCGGGCGUGAGCUGGAUUGAUUGGGUUUAAGGGGUGCGCAGGGGGAUUUUUAAGUCAGCGUUAAAAUCGGGGGGUGCAACACCAACCAGCCGUUGACACUGGGGAUCUGGAGUGUGCGAGAGGGAUGCGGAAUGCGUGGUGUAGCGGUGAAAUGCAUAGAUAUCACGCAGAACCCCGGUUGCGAAGGCAGCAUACCGGUGCACAACUGACGCUCAGGCACGAAAGCGUGGGUAUCGAACAGGAUUAGAUACCCGAGUAGUC
Molecule: ribosomal RNA, 458 nt
Filed under: uncultured bacterium
Lineage: Bacteria
Description: partial 16S ribosomal RNA
Rfam family: Bacterial small subunit ribosomal RNA
Source: RNAcentral